This 520-nucleotide ribosomal RNA is filed under the name uncultured Veillonella sp. RNAcentral's name for it is "bacterial SSU rRNA". It matches the Rfam family "Bacterial small subunit ribosomal RNA", at positions 46 to 526 of the family's 1533-position model. The record is from RNAcentral. Lineage: Bacteria; Bacillati; Bacillota; Negativicutes; Veillonellales; Veillonellaceae.
GCUUAACACAUGCAAGUCGAACGAAGAGACAUGGGAGCUUGCUCCUAUGAAUCUUAGUGGCGAACGGGUAGAGUAACGCGUAAUCAACCUGCCUACAAUGGGGGACAACAGUUGGAACGACUGCUAAUACCGCAUACGACCUACGAUUGGCAUCAAUCGUAGGUGAAAGGUGGCCUCUACAUGUAAGCUAUCGUUGUAGGAGGGGGAUUGCGUCUGAUUAGCUAGUUGGAGGGGGUAACGGGCCCACCAAGGCGAUGAUCAGUAGCCGGUCUGAGAGGAUGAACGGCCACAUUGGGGACUGAGACACGGCCCAAACUCCUACGGGAGGCAGCAGUGGGGAAUCUUCCGCAAUGGACGAAAGUCUGACGGAGCAACGCCGCGUGAGUGAUGACGGUCUUCGGAUUGUAAAGCUCUGUUAAUCGGGACGAAUGGUUUGUGUGCAAAUAGUGCAUAGACAUGACGGGUACCGGGAAUAGAAAAGCCACGGGGCUAACUACGUGCCCAGCAGCCGCGGGUAAAU